UUUUGCACCAGCAAGAAUCCCACCUUCAUCCCUGUACCAGCUGCCCCCAGAGUCCAGCCUGGGGCCGGUAACUCAUCCCCACGAUGUCCAGCGCAAGGAGGCAGUGCGCCCCAGAGCAGUUCUGGUGGCCGCCCCAUCUCCCUCCCCGCCCCGAAACUCACCGCAAAGCGCUUCCCACAGCUCUCAUUGCCACAGCACCUGCAGCAGUCAUUGUUCUUCAGGCCCAAGAACACCAGCGCAGGGAAGAUCAUCUACCGGCAAAAGAAGCAUCUCAGAGUGGGUCUGGUCUGGCAUGUGAAGGGGGGCCCGAGCCUGCCUGCCUGCCUGUGUGAGGAACCACAUCCGCAACGUGGGACUCGGUGACCAAAGAGGAUGGCAAGAGCUAACGGAGCCUCGCUGAGGUCCCCAACUGCUAUUGGAAACAAGGGGUAAAGAAAUCAUUAGCACAAGAGUGGAAGAGGAACCCACACACACCUCCUUCUCUUGGGAAAAAUAGCAGGAGGUGAGCCAGGAAGCCAGACACAGCGAGGGGAAUGAGGGUGCCGCCCAGGCACUUGGCACACCUCGCGGUGCACAUGCCGGGGAGGUAGGAUGCAGGUCUCGAUACGCGCCCCCUCGAUGCCUCCUUCACAGGCUCUCUUCUGAGUUAUCCGCCGCAGAGGCGUAAUAAUUGUCCCCAGAUCAAUCCGAAC
This is a long non-coding RNA of Balaenoptera ricei (Rice's whale), 692 nucleotides long. RefSeq lists it as uncharacterized. The record is from RefSeq and is a predicted model, not a curated record. The transcript has 3 exons. Lineage: Eukaryota; Metazoa; Chordata; Mammalia; Artiodactyla; Balaenopteridae.